AAUGAAACAGAGCACUCAAAACUUGAGUUAUCUUUCCAACUCUCUCAGUUUAAGAUUCAUCAUUCCUUCUUGUUUACAAUUUGAUAACAUUUUUCCUCAAUGAAUAUUGCAUCAGUCUCUUCUUGCAAAAAAGUUUAGUCUCUUAAUUAUUAGUUUCUAAGAGAUCUAGCUAUAUAUGGUUACUUUCAUAUAUUUUCCUGUCGAUAAAAGAUAAGGUGGUGAUUGUUAUGGAUCCAACAAGACAGGUGUCCGAUACAAAUGCAGAUCUAGAGGUCAGAUUCUUAAUAAUCUAAAUUUAAAGAUUUGGGAUACGGAUUCAGGUGCGGAGUCUGGUGAGGGUGUUCUAGUACGGAUGCAGGUACUGGUGGUGAUUGUUAUGGAUCCAACUGGACAUGCAAGUCUAGCCUUUCCAUAGAUCUAGCCGAUUCAUUUUCUAUAAAAGUCUUGAAUAGUUGACAAACACAAGCUAAGUUGCUCAGACUCUGGUGCGGGUGUCGAAUGCAAAUGCAGGUUUAGAGGUCGGAUCCUUAAUGACUUUUAUUUAAAGAUUUGGGUGUAUGGAUCCAGGUACGAACUCUGGUGCGGGUGUCCAAGUAUGGAUACAGGUAUGGGUGGUGAUUGUUAUGGAUCCACCUAGACAAGUAAGUCUAGCCUUUCCAUAGAUCUAGUCGAUUCAUUUUCAGUAGAGGUUGUGAGUAAUUGACAAAUACAAACUAAGUUGCUCGGACUCCGGUGUGGGUGUCCGAUACAGGUACGGAUCUAGAGAUCGGAUCCUUAAUGAUCUAAAGUUGAGGUACCUUCUGAUCUUUCUC
This is a long non-coding RNA of Solanum tuberosum (potato), 812 nucleotides long. RefSeq lists it as uncharacterized. NCBI's taxonomy places the organism in Eukaryota, Viridiplantae, Streptophyta, Magnoliopsida, Solanales, Solanaceae. The record is from RefSeq and is a predicted model, not a curated record. The transcript has 2 exons.